UACGUAGGGACCAAGCGUUGUUCGGAAUUACUGGGCGUAAAGAGCGCGCAGGCGGUCGUUCAAGUCGAGUGUGAAAGCCCCCGGCUCAACUGGGGAGGGUCACUCGAUACUGAUCGACUCGAAGGCAGGAGAGGGAAGCGGAAUUCCCGGUGUAGUGGUGAAAUGCGUAGAUAUCGGGAGGAACACCAGUGGCGAAGGCGGCUUUCUGGCCUGUUCUUGACGCUGAGGCGCGAAAGCUAGGGUAGCAAACGGG
This 253-nucleotide ribosomal RNA is filed under the name uncultured bacterium. Its description in RNAcentral is "partial 16S ribosomal RNA". It matches the Rfam family "Bacterial small subunit ribosomal RNA", at positions 524 to 776 of the family's 1533-position model. The record is from RNAcentral.